GCCAGCUUGGCGCAGCUGGUAGCGCAACUGACUUGUAAUCAGUAGGUCGCCGGUUCGAGUCCGGCAGCUGGCUCCA
This 76-nucleotide transfer RNA is filed under the name Actinomycetes bacterium. RNAcentral describes it as "tRNA-Thr". It matches the Rfam family "tRNA". Rfam says of the family: Transfer RNA (tRNA) molecules are approximately 80 nucleotides in length. Their secondary structure includes four short double-helical elements and three loops (D, anti-codon, and T loops). The record is from RNAcentral. Lineage: Bacteria; Bacillati; Actinomycetota; Actinomycetes.